CUUCCAGUAGCACCUUAGAGACCAACUAAGUUUGUUAUUGAUAUGAGCUUUUGUGUGCAUGCACAAGAAAGCUCAUACCAAUCACAAACUUAGUUGGUCUCUAAGGUGCUACUGGAAG
Podarcis lilfordi (Lilford's wall lizard) is the source of this 118-nucleotide non-coding RNA. The record is from the annotation of a GenBank genome assembly. Lineage: Eukaryota; Metazoa; Chordata; Lepidosauria; Squamata; Lacertidae.